Molecule: non-coding RNA, 220 nt
Organism: Pelobates cultripes (western spadefoot toad)
Lineage: Eukaryota; Metazoa; Chordata; Amphibia; Anura; Pelobatidae
Source: the annotation of a GenBank genome assembly
CUUCUAGAUGGUGGUAGCCCAGUGUCUAGAGGUGUCAGGCAUAGAAAAUAUUCAGAGGCAAAGUAGUUCCUCUAUAUGAUAUUCCAUGCUGUCAUGAUUUUGUUUUGCUUUGAGGGUCUGGUGUAGACAUGAAACAUCAAUGGUAAAAAACACGAUAACGGUUAAAUUAUUGGGCUCCAGUGCCUGCUAUCAGAGCAACAGCCAAUCAGUGAAGAACUGC